UACGUAGGGGGCAAGCGUUAUCCGGAUUUACUGGGUGUAAAGGGAGUGUAGGCGGCCGGGCAAGCCAGAUGUGAAAGCCCGCGGCUCAACCGCGGGACUGCAUUUGGAACUGUUUGGCUAGAGUGCAGGAGGGGAAAGCGGAAUUCCUAGUGUAGCGGUGAAAUGCGUAGAUAUUAGGAGGAACACCGGUGGCGAAGGCGGCUUUCUGGACUGUUACUGACGCUGAGGCUCGAAAGCGUGGGGAG
This 245-nucleotide ribosomal RNA is filed under the name uncultured Lachnospiraceae bacterium. RNAcentral's name for it is "partial 16S ribosomal RNA". It matches the Rfam family "Bacterial small subunit ribosomal RNA", at positions 524 to 768 of the family's 1533-position model. Lineage: Bacteria; Bacillati; Bacillota; Clostridia; Lachnospirales; Lachnospiraceae. The record is from RNAcentral.